CAGCGCCGCGGUAAUACGAAGGGUGCAAGCGUUACUCGAAAUUACUGGGCGUAAAGCGUGCGUAGGUGGUGGUUUAAGUCCGUUGUGAAAGCCCUGGGCUCAACCUGGGAAUUGCAGUGGAUACUGGGUCACUAGAGUGUGGUAGAGGAUAGUGGAAUUUCCGGUGUAGCAGUGAAAUGCGUAGAGAUCGGAAGGAACAUCUGUGGCGAAGGCGACUAUCUGGGCCAACACUGACACUGAGGCACGAAAGCGUGGGGAGCAAACAGGAUUAGAUACCCCCGUAGUCCCUGUCUCUUAUACA
RNAcentral lists this ribosomal RNA (301 nucleotides) under uncultured bacterium. RNAcentral's name for it is "partial 16S ribosomal RNA". It matches the Rfam family "Bacterial small subunit ribosomal RNA", at positions 509 to 808 of the family's 1533-position model. The record is from RNAcentral.